GAAAAGACUAACCGUAUUAGCUAACAUGUUAAGGUCACACAAUUAAAUAUAUUCUGAACCACUAAAAACACCAAAGAAUACUACAAUGCUUUCUACCACUAAUAAUAUUCCUUCAUCAAUUAAUAACAACAAUGAUGUACAAUCUUGCACUCUCAAAAGACCACUCAAAAUACAUAAAUUCCAUCCAAUACCAAAAAUAAUAGACUUCCACUCCAACGAAUUUGGCUUCACACAAUUUUUGUAAUCAUAGACUUCUUUUGUUGAAACAUAGACAACUCUCAAUAAACAACAAUCAUAAUCUUCCAUCCAUAAACAAUCUCUCACAAAAUCUGAUAACAAACUCCCAA
Molecule: long non-coding RNA, 347 nt
Filed under: Physcomitrium patens
Lineage: Eukaryota; Viridiplantae; Streptophyta; Bryopsida; Funariales; Funariaceae
Description: long non-coding RNA (PPAT_LNC006043)
Source: RNAcentral